UCAAACACAAAAUAAAAGUUUUUUUUUUUUUUUUUUUUUUUUGCUUUCUUUUAAAAGCAGGAAGGCCUCAGUUUUAGAUCUUGUAUUCUAAUACUUGUGUGACACAAAUGAACUAUAAUUUUGCACUUAAAGAACUGGACUCAUAGCAUGCUUAUGCUUAUUAAAAACAACAAUCCUGACCAGCCUAGCCUUUAAUUUAUGUGAAUUUAUUUCUGAGUGCUCACGAGCUGUAGCUCUUGGUUGUGCAAUGCUGGGGUUGGAAAUGAGGCUGCUGCUUGGGUGGAAAAUGCACUGCUGCUACAACUUCAAACAGUUUUAUCAUCUUCUGUUGGUUGUCCUGGUUUAAAAUAUAAAAUAAAAAGUAUUGGCUUCCCUCAGCUUCAGCACUUUGAGAGAAUAGUGCUAAUCUGCUUAGAUUUUCUUGAUAAUUGUUUCUUCCCAGGAGCACAUUGGAAUAAAACUUCAGUCUGGAAGGUCAGGGAGAAGUUUCGGCUUAUUCUGCGCUUCCCUCUGCCUAGGAUGCACACCAGCUGAGACUUGGGUGUGCUGCUUUUGAUAGGGAACAGUCAGAUGACAGUUUUACUUCCUCCUCCUAGAAGCAAAGACUGUGCAAGAUGAAAUUUUCAUGCAGACCUUCUCAUCUUACUGCCUCUCUGUCCUUGGAUCAGUGUGAAAUGAUGACCGAUGGUUCCUGUUGACUUGCUGAGAGACGCUGCUCCCAAAGGCGUGCAGCACUUGGCCAAAAGCAAAUAUUAGGGGGAAUGUUCUGAACGGGAGCAAUGUAAUGCUGAGUAACCUGGGAAGGAGUGGCACAAGAUGUCUUCAGAAUUUCUGUGGAGACUCCAAAGAUGGGACCACAGUGCUUUUCUGAGCUGCA
This is a long non-coding RNA of Lagopus leucura (white-tailed ptarmigan), 877 nucleotides long. RefSeq lists it as uncharacterized. The record is from RefSeq and is a predicted model, not a curated record. NCBI's taxonomy places the organism in Eukaryota, Metazoa, Chordata, Aves, Galliformes, Phasianidae. The transcript is spliced from 2 exons.